Molecule: non-coding RNA, 264 nt
Organism: Pelodiscus sinensis (Chinese soft-shelled turtle)
Lineage: Eukaryota; Metazoa; Chordata; Testudines; Trionychidae
Source: RefSeq, a predicted model, not a curated record
GGGAAAGCGGCGGGCUGUUGCCUAGGCUACGGGAGAGCGGAGAGAGCGUUGGCCGAGGGAGGGGAGCGAGCUGGCUCCGUGCGGGACCAUCGCGGCGGCCGGGACGGCAGCGCUGGAAGGGAUGGAAACAGCUUUCCUGGUGAAACAUGCUCGUUCUGUGUAUGGGACAGACUGCACGAAACACUGGAUCCAGCUCUGUCCCCGCCUGCCUCGUAGCCAAAAGCGCUUCACAAUUCAUGUGAAAAAAAGAUGCCCCGCAAAAAA